RNAcentral lists this ribosomal RNA (271 nucleotides) under uncultured archaeon. RNAcentral's name for it is "partial 16S ribosomal RNA". It matches the Rfam family "Archaeal small subunit ribosomal RNA", at positions 477 to 747 of the family's 1478-position model. The record is from RNAcentral.
CAGCGCCACGAGUGGGGAUCAUAAUUAUUGGGCCUAAAGCGUCCGUAGCUGGUUAGAUAAAUCUCUUGUGAAAUCGUGGAGCUUAACUUCACGGCGUGCAGGAGACACUAUUUGACUUGGAACCGGGAGGAGUAAGAGGUAUUCUGGGGGGAGCGGUAAAAUGCUAUAAUCCCUGGAGGACCACCGAUAGCGAAGGCAUCUUACUAGAACGGAUUCGACAGUGAGGGACGAAAGCCAGGGGAGCGAACCGGAUUAGAUACCCGAGUAGUCC